Molecule: ribosomal RNA, 222 nt
Filed under: uncultured bacterium
Lineage: Bacteria
Description: partial 16S ribosomal RNA
Rfam family: Bacterial small subunit ribosomal RNA
Source: RNAcentral
GAUCCUGGCUCAGGAUGAGCGCUGGCGGCGUGCCUAACACAUGCAAGUCGAGCGAAGCACUUUGCUUAGAUUCUUCGGAUGAAGAGGAUUGUGACUGAGCGGCGGACGGGUGAGUAACGCGUGGGUAACCUGCCUCAUACAGGGGGAUAACAGUUAGAAAUGACUGCUAAUACUGCAUAAGACCACAGCACCGCAUGGUGCGGGGGUAAAAACUUCGGUGGU